This 253-nucleotide ribosomal RNA is filed under the name uncultured bacterium. Its description in RNAcentral is "partial 16S ribosomal RNA". It matches the Rfam family "Bacterial small subunit ribosomal RNA", at positions 524 to 776 of the family's 1533-position model. The record is from RNAcentral.
UACGUAGGUGGCAAGCGUUGUCCGGAUUUAUUGGGUUUAAAGGGUGCGUAGGCGGCCCUGUAAGUCAGUGCUGAAAUAUCCCAGCUUAACUGGGAGGGUGGCAUUGAUACUGCGGGGCUAGAGUACAGAUGAGGUAGGCGGAAUUGACGGUGUAGCGGUGAAAUGCUUAGAUAUGUCAUAGAACACCGACUGCGAAGGCAGCUCACUAAACUGUCACUGACGCUGAGGCACGAAAGCGUGGGGAGCAAACAGG